GACGAACGCUGGCGGCGUGCUUAACACAUGCAAGUCGAACGGAAAGGCCCUGCUUUUGUGGGGUGCUCGAGUGGCGAACGGGUGAGUAACACGUGAGUAACCUGCCCUUGACUUUGGGAUAACUUCAGGAAACUGGGGCUAAUACCGGAUAGGAGCUCCUGCUGCAUGGUGUGGGUUGGAAAGUUUCGGCGGUUGGGGAUGGACUCGCGGCUUAUCAGCUUGUUGGUGUGGUAGUGGCUUACCAAGGCUUUGACGGGUAGCCGGCCUGAGAGGGUGACCGGCCACAUUGGGACUGAGAUACGGACCAGACUCCUACGGGAGGCAGCAGUGGGGAAUAUUGCACAAUGGGCGGAAGCGUGAUGCAGCAACGCCGCGUGCGGGAUGACGGCCUUCGGGUUGUAAACCGCUUUCGACUGUGACGAAGCGUGAGUGACGGUAAUGGGUAAAGAAGCACCGGCUAACUACGUG
RNAcentral lists this ribosomal RNA (468 nucleotides) under uncultured bacterium. Its description in RNAcentral is "partial 16S ribosomal RNA". It matches the Rfam family "Bacterial small subunit ribosomal RNA", at positions 28 to 507 of the family's 1533-position model. The record is from RNAcentral.